Long non-coding RNA from Oncorhynchus kisutch (coho salmon), 3610 nucleotides. RefSeq lists it as uncharacterized. The transcript has 3 exons. The record is from RefSeq and is a predicted model, not a curated record. Lineage: Eukaryota; Metazoa; Chordata; Actinopteri; Salmoniformes; Salmonidae.
UUAGAGGUUGGCUCGGCUAGCCUUCGCUCUGAUUGGAGAAACUGGCUUCUAGACAGAGGGGGACCUUGAGUUACCGCGGACUGGCUGUAAUGGGGGGCCUGGCCCCGGGCACUCAACCGUCAGAAUUAGCUAAUUGUUAUACAAUAUAGCUAAGUAGCUGAUUAAAGACGGUGGCAGUCUGGUUAAGGUAGGCUUGUAGGGGGUUCUCUCCCCGCAAGUUUGCAUGUGAUUUUAUACCUACGCGAAUGCAGCACGGUUGCAGUAAAAUUGGAACUUCAGCAGCGCGAGCUAGCCCAGCCCCCGCUAGCUGGCUAGCGAACGAGAAUUUGCUAGCGGAUCGGGGCUUCAGUCCGUAUCAGCUUAACCCUCAAACGGAAAUGAACACAGGCUAUGAUCAAUCCUCUGAGAGAAGACUGCAAGUCACUGCCAGUCAGACAAAAGGGGAUCCGCAACGAAACGGCUCACCGUUCCUUCCCUUCCUUCCUGGAAGAAACACUGUCACCCUAAAGAGCAAAUGGAAAAAUGAAAUCUGUAUAUUUUAGUUUCAUAUUUUUUUGUUAACAUGUCUAACUUUUUUAUUUUAUUUUGGUGUGUGGGGGUAUAGAUGAGAUCAUGAUGACUCUGAAGUUUCAUACCUUCUCUCUCUUAUCUGUGAUUUAUUAACAUGUUCGAUAUACAGUAGCCUGUAAGGGACUCUAAGCCUUGACGAUAUGUUUUGUAUUUCGGGAAGGAGAGGAAAAGAUGUAUGUAGUAAUAACACCAAUACCUGGCUGACUUGAGCAGAGUCUCCUACAUCUGAGACCUAGCCUGGUCCCGAGAUCUUUGUGCUGUCUUCCGUGACAUCGGCAAGAUGGCACAAACCGAUUUGGAACCAGGCGAGCAGAGUCUCCUACAUCUGAGACCUAGCCUGGUCCCGAGAUCUGUUUGUGCUGUCUUCCGUGACAUCGGCAAGAUGGCACAAACCGAUUUGGAACCAGGCGAGCAGAGUCUCCUACAUCUGAGACCUAGCCUGGUCCCGAGAUCUGUUUGUGCUGUCUUCCGUGACAUCGGCAAGAUGGCACAAACCGAUUUGGAACCAGGCGAGCAGAGUCUCCUACAUCUGAGACCUAGCCUGGUCCCGAGAUCUGUUUGUGCUGUCUUCCGUGACAUCGGCAAGAUAGCACAAACCGAUUUGGAACCAGGCGAGCAGAGGCCCAACAUCUGUGUUUUCAAACUCUACCGGUGGCCCCUUUUUGGGGGGGGCUGAGUAUAGUAACUGACAGGCAGCAGCAUGUCAUCCACUCUUCCACAGAACACAGUUGAAACAGCUGCUGGAUCCUCCAUGUUUUAACACUCAUCCAGUUCUAUCUGCUCUGUUCACCUCACACACUCAUCAGCAUUGAUCUCUGCUUAACACCGUGUGUAGUUAGACCUAGACUUAUCAUUGUCUGUACAAACACACUUAAAAAAAUCUAAUCAAAUGUUUAUUUGUGACAUGCUUCAUGAACUACAGGUGUAGACUAACAGUGACAUUCUUUAAGUCUUUUUCGAACAAGUCAGAGUUUAAAUCUUGAAAGGGAGUGGUUCCACCUCGAUGCAUAACCAUUCAAACAUUGGGUUCGGUAUUUUACCUCUAAUAGUCCUAAUCCUUCAGCUCUUUAGGUGAUUCACACCCUUCAGCUCUCAAAAAUCCUCUGCUCAUUCUCAAAACUCAAAUAUUUACAUACUCUAAAGUAUUUACUGAGGCUAAGAGUCCCCCCUUUUUUCCAUUUUAGAUUACUAAAUGCUUGGUAGCUAAUUUUAUUUUAUUGUGUUUUUUUAUUUUUAUGUAGUAUUUUAAGUUUAGAAUGUUUACGUUGCAAACUAGUAUAAAACCAUGUGUAGACACAGUGUGAUGUAUAGAAGUAGCUAUAGUAGAAAUGCAUUGUUUCCUUGUGGUAAGUGAGUGAGAUGCUGCCACGGAACUGAGACACUGAUGAUUGGUGCUAUUUUGGACUUUAAUCUGCUCCUUGGAAAGGUAGCUGAGAUGGGUUUUAUUUUUUACUUUCAUGUUCUGAUUAAGGAAGGGGUUGGUUCUUUGACGUUUGGUUGUUGUAACUCGGUCUGGAUUGGCUUUGUUUUCCCCUUGUCGUUUUCUGUGCGGCUUUCUCAUUGGACUUUAGGAAAAUAUCAACUUCUUUCAUGGUAAUGUUUUACUAAAGGGGAAGGGGGUUUAGGUGAGAAUAUUUAUGAGGUUACACCAUGUUGAUCGGAGCAAUCACAAAACUGCAAUCGUUAACACUAGUUACCCUUUAAAACUGAGAUGUGCAAUCAAAGGGAUACGUUGUAUCCAGUAGUACCCUGAGAUGUGCAAUCAAAGGGAUACGUUGUAUCCAGUAGUACCCUGAGAUGUGCAAUCAAAGGGAUACGUUGUACCCAGCACAAGUCACUUUUUUAGAGAAUGUUUACGUUUUUUGUUUAUGUUCUGAUUGACAGACAAUCUUGAAACCAAGAGUGCAUUUUUCCCCUAACGUGUUUGUUUAACAGAUCUCCUAAGCGAUUUUGCACACUUGUAAGACUCCACAGAAUGUUAAUGUCAGAUAUCCGCUUCAAGUUGGUUAGCAUAAGUAAACACUGAAACGUAAAGGUUAUUUUUAGAAAAUGGCUCUUGAGAGAACUUGAUAGUUAAAUUAUAAAAUGAAUGAACACACUUUAAUGUGUGUCAAGGCCCAGCCUGUUAGGGUUUGGGUUCAGGGUUUCAACUUUUCUUCACCAGCUGGAUAUGACUUAAUGCUAUAGUGAGUCAUGUGUGAUUAUAUAAUGUUAGUUAACAUGAGUCUGGAAUCACACGAUGCAUAUAAUCUUGUUUUAGAAAACCAUUUUCAGGGCACACAUGUAUCAUAAAGUGAUCUCCGUUUUAAAAAUUUAUAUAUUUUUCAUUGUCUUUUGAAUUAUUUAGUAAAUUAAUUGUUGACAACCUUUUUAUUAAACAACUGAAACCCCAAAGUUUUUUUUUAAUUUUAGCUAAACAAAAAUUGACAACUAGGGUUAAGGGCCUUGCUCAAGGGCACAUUGACAGAUUUGUCUCCUAGUUGUCUCGGGGAUUCAAACCAGCAACCUUUCAGUUACUGGCCCAAUGCUCUUAGCCUAGUGGUUAUCUGCCGCCUGCUAGAGAUUUAAAACACCAAAGUUAUGUCAGUAUUUGCAGUUUUGUUUUUGCUUCUUUUUUUUAUAUAGUUAAAUAUUCUAAUUAAUAUAAUAAUAACCAACUUGAAAGCCCACUUUAGUUUUCUUUUGUCUUCCAUUCUCCCUCGAUAUUGGGACCUAUUGAACCAGCAUGUUCUGGUCUUGUUAAUUGCGUGCUCUCUUUUCGUCAUUGUGGUUUUUGUUUUUGUGAAGAAAAAUAUAUAUAUCCUCUUGCAAUUCUUAAUAUGAAUGCUGUUUUGUACAUAGCAAAGUGAAUAGCGUAGGCUGGAUGUUUUGCGUGAGGUAUUCAGUAUUUACCACUAAGGUUGAAAAAAUAUAUAUACAGUAUGCCAGCUUUGGAAAAAUGAUUAUAACGAUGCGCUUAACUUACAGUAUCCCAUGUACUUUACUUUGGCAAUUUUAGAAGUAGUGCAAUAAAUAUGCAAGCUUGUAAUUUGGUGUUUUA